GCGUCGUUAGUGUAACGAACAGAGCACGCAUUCCCGGAAAGAAUGAGGUGCGGGUUCUAGUCCCGGUUGACGCG
Molecule: non-coding RNA, 74 nt
Organism: Parelaphostrongylus tenuis
Lineage: Eukaryota; Metazoa; Nematoda; Chromadorea; Rhabditida; Metastrongylidae
Source: the annotation of a GenBank genome assembly